This is a non-coding RNA of Notechis scutatus (mainland tiger snake), 479 nucleotides long. The record is from RefSeq and is a predicted model, not a curated record. NCBI's taxonomy places the organism in Eukaryota, Metazoa, Chordata, Lepidosauria, Squamata, Elapidae.
UCGGCGGCCACCGAUCUGCUUCCUGGGGUUUCCUUUCGCUUUCCUAAAAUCGCCUUCCCUCCCAGCUGGCUUUUUUCCUUGACGAUCCCGGCUAAAGGAAAAGCGCUUUAGGAACGGAAGUGCCGCAUCUCCUCCAGGCAGGAUUCCCUCCCAUCCAUGAUGCUGAAGUCCUUGAGAAGCAGAGGAGGGGGCAGCCUCUUUCGACUGCUGGGGGUCACGCCCGGGCUCCAAGUUGGCAUUUUGCCCACCAACAGGUCCUGCUCUUCCAGAGAGUGCCCUCCUUCAGCCACCAAAGCCACCGGGAUUAAGAAACGGGGCUAUGACAUCACCAGGAAUCCCCAACUCAACAAGGGUAUGGCCUUCACCCUUCAAGAGAGGCUCCAGCUGGGAAUACACGGUCUUCUUCCACCGUGCUUCCUGAGCCAAGAUGUACAAGUUCUACGGGUCCUGAAAAGCUACGAGACCAAAUCCAAUGAUCU